GCUGGGCGCCGUGGCUCAAGCCUGUAAUCCCAGCACUUUGGGAGGCCGAGAUGGGCGGAUCACAAGGUCAGAAGAUCGAGACCAUCCUGGCUAAACGGUGAACCCCCAUCUCUACUACAAACACAAAAAAUUAGCCAGGGAUGUUGGCAGGCGCCUGUAAACCCAGCUACUUGGGNNNNNNNNNNCCCAAGUAGCUGGGUUUACAGGCGCCUGCCAACAUCCCUGGCUAAUUUUUUGUGUUUGUAGUAGAGAUGGGGGUUCACCGUUUAGCCAGGAUGGUCUCGAUCUUCUGACCUUGUGAUCCGCCCAUCUCGG
Molecule: non-coding RNA, 315 nt
Organism: Chlorocebus sabaeus (green monkey)
Lineage: Eukaryota; Metazoa; Chordata; Mammalia; Primates; Cercopithecidae
Rfam family: Metazoan signal recognition particle RNA
About the family: The signal recognition particle (SRP) is a universally conserved ribonucleoprotein. It is involved in the co-translational targeting of proteins to membranes.
Source: Rfam